This 305-nucleotide ribosomal RNA is filed under the name uncultured bacterium. RNAcentral describes it as "bacterial SSU rRNA". It matches the Rfam family "Bacterial small subunit ribosomal RNA", at positions 335 to 632 of the family's 1533-position model. The record is from RNAcentral.
UGCCUACGGGGCGCAGCAGUUAGGAAUAUUCGGCAAUGGGGGAAACCCUGACCGAGCAAUGCCGCGUGUGAGAUGAAGGCCCUAUGGGUUGUAAAUCACUUUUAUUUGGGAAGAACUGUAAGUAGAGGAAAUGAUACUUACUUGACGGUACCUUUUGAAUAAGCCCCGGCUAACUACGUGCCAGCAGCCGCGGUAAUACGUAGGGGGCAAGCGUUAUCCGGAUUUACUGGGUGUAAAGGGAGCGUAGACGGCGCGGCAAGUCUGAAGUGAAAGGCAGGGGCUUAACCCCUGAACUGCUUUGGAAA